This 72-nucleotide transfer RNA is filed under the name Camelus bactrianus (Bactrian camel). It matches the Rfam family "tRNA". Rfam says of the family: Transfer RNA (tRNA) molecules are approximately 80 nucleotides in length. Their secondary structure includes four short double-helical elements and three loops (D, anti-codon, and T loops). The record is from Rfam by way of RNAcentral. Lineage: Eukaryota; Metazoa; Chordata; Mammalia; Artiodactyla; Camelidae. RNAcentral also lists the same sequence under 2 other names.
UGGGGUGUAGCUCAGUGGUAGAGCACGUGCUUGGCCUGCACGAGGUCCUGGGUUCUAUCCUCAGUGCCUCUG